AUGCCAGAAGUGUUUUAAAUUAAUAAUAUUAAAUUAAAACGAUACCGUGCUACCGACGACCAUUAGUAAUAAUUAGGACUUUAUUGUUAUGAGUACAACUUGUACAAGCGGUAAGUACAACAUGUCUGUUAACUUCACAGCUAUCCGCAAAAACGUUAUCAGUAGGCAGUGUUGGUUAGUAACGCAACGCAGAUUACAAAUUUCUGUAACGAAAUUACUCUUUCAAUAACGGUGCAGUAAUGUUCCAUUACAUUUUAUUUGAAUUAACGCAAUUGUGUAACUAUAUACUUGAAAAGUAACUUCCACGGCGUAAGGCAUUACUUACGUCAUUAAAAUAUGUUGUCAACGACAAAACUCCAAAACCUAGACGCUAGGAUCACAGGACAAAGAAUAAUACUACUAUAUUACUACUAUUAUAACAUUACUCUUUUCACUACGCUAAGGUAUUCGAAAAAAAGGGAAAAAAAUCAAUUGAAUUAACUAUCGAUUCCGAAUUUUUUUUGAAAAUACUCAACAAUAUUAUUGAAUACCUCAGGAAUUUAUGUUAUUAGCGGAAAAUAAAAGACUUGAGAUUUAAAAAUAAAAUUGAAUUAUGAUUUAAGACUAAAAUAAUAAUUAAUGUCAUUGAUAUGAUUAUUUGACAUAUUUUAUAACUGAUAUACCUUCCUCAACGGUACCUCACCAACCACCAUGCAGAAUCAUCAAACAAUGAAAUCAUAGCUUAUGUCAAAAAAAUAAGAAAACAAGGUCAAAGAGAGUAUCUACAGCGUAAAAAAAUAAUAAGAAAAAAUGUGUCGUUCAACAAAUGCAUCAAAUCCUGACUAUCAACAAAGAGUUGAAAGAAAAUCCCAUGUAUAACGUCAAAAAGAAUACGUACUGCACUAAAACAUUUGCCAAGUGAAUCACAGGACUCCCUUUUGACAAUUUACAAAGUGAAAAAAAUUUGCGUAAAUGCAAAAAGUAUCGAGCUACAAGGAAUGGAAAAACUUUUGAAGAAGAUGAUUAUUUUUCUACGUAAGAAAUAUUAGUAGAAGUGUUCACUUUUGUCAACCGUCCCAAGACAGUAAUUCAAUUUAUUUUCCUAAAAUCACAAAUUUAAAAUAAUAUUUUCUAUUUUGUAAAAAUAAACUUUAUAAAAAAAAAUUAAUCGGAA
Molecule: long non-coding RNA, 1153 nt
Filed under: Acyrthosiphon pisum (pea aphid)
Lineage: Eukaryota; Metazoa; Arthropoda; Insecta; Hemiptera; Aphididae
Description: uncharacterized LOC100571348, transcript variant X3
Source: RNAcentral